AAUAUUGCACAAUGGAGGGAACUCUGAUGCAGCAACGCCGCUUGAGUGAAGAAGGUUUUCGGAUCGUAAAACUCUGUCAUUGGGGAAGAAUAAAUGACGGUACCCAAUGAGGAAGCCCCGGCUAACCACGUGCCAGCAGCCGCGGUAAUACGUAGGGGGCAAGCGUUGUCCGGAAUUAUUGGGCGUAAAGGGUGCGUAGGCGGCCUUUUAAGUCAGAUGUGAAAGCCCGCGGCUUAACUGCGGGAUUGCAUUUGAAACUGGGAGGCUUGAGUAUCGGAGAGGGUAGUGGAAUUCCCAGUGUAGUGGUGAAAUGCGUAGAUAUUGGGAGGAACACCAGUGGCGAAGGCGACUGCCUGGACGAAAACUGACGCUGAGGCACGAAAGCUAGGGGAGCAAAC
Molecule: ribosomal RNA, 398 nt
Filed under: uncultured bacterium
Lineage: Bacteria
Description: partial 16S ribosomal RNA
Rfam family: Bacterial small subunit ribosomal RNA
Source: RNAcentral